Molecule: long non-coding RNA, 1342 nt
Organism: Bos indicus x Bos taurus (hybrid cattle)
Lineage: Eukaryota; Metazoa; Chordata; Mammalia; Artiodactyla; Bovidae
Source: Ensembl
AUGUCAGGAACCACGUCUAAUGUCCAAAAAAGAGGACAUGCUCCCCAAAUCGCAGCUUCACCCACAAUGCUGCUCUCUCAGCUCCUCUCCCGGACCUUCUUCAGUGACCUGCACUGUCUCGGGACCGGCCCUGGGGGUCUGAUCAGGCGUGCCCACCUGGACGAGGCGCUUGACUCUCCCCAGCAUCGCUUAUCCCUGUGUGAGCAGCCUGAGCCUCGGGCAGGAGUGUACAGAAAACAAGCUCGACACCGGAUUCCACAUCCUGGGCCCUCUGAAAAAGACGUCCAUCCUGAAAUAGUUCAUUUAUACAAGAGAACAGAGCGGAAAGUCUUAAUACGGUAACGUGGACGCCCAGGUCCUGCUGCCCACGGAAGGACUAAGACGUGCCAGGACCAAUCACACCUCCCAGCGCCCCCUGCACCCAGCUCCCCUCCACGCCGCCCACCGGGAACCAGGGCCUCACCUUUCUCUCCAUCUCCCUGAGCUUCUCCUGCUCUGUGGUCUUACAGCCACACGGGAUGUUAAGAGGGAGUGUUCAUUAUAUUGAUGCUAGUCUCCUGUAACAAACCGGACAGCUUCUUCCUUGGAAUAAUUUUAUUUAUUUAUAUUUUUCGCUGCCCUGGGCUUUCGUCGCUGUGAGGGCUUUCUCUAGUUGCCGCAAGCGGGGACUACUCUGGUUGUGGCACACAGGCGUAUUUGCUCCGCAGCAUGUGGGGUCUUCCCGGACCAGGGCUGGAACUGUCCAGUCCCUGCAUUGGCAGGUGGGUCCUCGACCACUGAGCCACCAAGGAACACCCCCACCCCCACCACCAAACUGGACAGCUUGAGACAACAGAAAUGUAUUCUCUCCUAUCCUGGGGGCCCUAGACUUUUUGACCAAGUGCUUCCAUCACCAGAAAUCCGAAAUGAAGGUGUGAGCAGGGUUGGUUCCUUUGCGAGGCUCCGAGAAAGAUUCCCUCCCAUGCUGUUCCCUCAGCUUCCUGUGGUGGCCAAAACUCCUCGGCGUUCCUGGGCCCGAGGGCUUCCCUGGUGGCUCAGAUGGUAAAGAAUCUGCCUGCCAAAGCAGGAGUCACAGGAGAUCCCUGGGUGGGGAAGAUCCCCUGAAAGAGGAAAUGGCAACCCAUUCCAGUGUUCUUGCCUGGAGAAUCCCACGGGCAGAGAAGCCUGGCGGGCUACAGUCCAUGGGCUCGUAAAGAGGCAGACACAGCUGAGUGACGCACGCACGCACAUUCCUGGGCCACGGCCACGUCCCUCUGCCCUCUGCCUCCAUCCUCACACGCCUUCUCCCUGUGGGUCUGUGUCCUCUCCUCCUUUUAUGAGGACACAUUCACUCUACAUGGGG